This 189-nucleotide unclassified non-coding RNA is filed under the name uncultured Russula. RNAcentral's name for it is "sequence contains ITS1". Lineage: Eukaryota; Fungi; Basidiomycota; Agaricomycetes; Russulales; Russulaceae. The record is from RNAcentral.
UCGUACAAUUGAGGUGCAAGGGCUGUCGCUGACCUUCAAAGGUUGUGCACGCCCGAGCACUCUUACACAUCCAUCUUACCCCUUUGUGCAUCACCGCGUGGGCCCCCCUUUGCAGGAGGGCUUGCGUUUUCACAUAAAACUUGAUACAGUGUAGAGUGGUUUUUUUUUUGCGGUCACACGUAAUUAAUA